This 5104-nucleotide long non-coding RNA is filed under the name Linum usitatissimum (flax). Its description in RNAcentral is "long non-coding RNA (LUSI_LNC004640)". Lineage: Eukaryota; Viridiplantae; Streptophyta; Magnoliopsida; Malpighiales; Linaceae. The record is from RNAcentral.
GAGGACUGGGUUGUGAUCCCAUGUCUCAUCGAUGUACUGUAUAAUGAUUAGCGAUUCUGAAAUCGGCUUGCCGUUGUGGAAGAAGACAGGGAUCUUCUUGUGAACUGGGUUGGAGUUGAGGAGAAGCUCGCUCUUGUUGGAGAGGUCAUCUUCGAUGUAUUGGAAGUUUAAGCCUUUGAGUUUGAGGACUAGUUCGAUUCUCCGGCUGUAGAGACUGGCCCAGGUUCCAAAGUAGCUUGAUUUCGUCUGCCAUUUUUUCUUGAUUUUUAUUAUCAUCUAUGGAGUACUAUGGAAGAAGCAGUAUAUAUCUGAUGUGCAGGAAGGAAUCGAAGUUUAGUGCAUUGGAGCUAAAUGGGGAAAUGUCAUGGCUGACAUCAGAGAUCUUAUGGGACCUCUGAGAUCUGGAUAUUCUACCUUAUCCCUUUGCGAGAUCGAUAAUGCCAAUCACACUAGAAAUUUUCAAAAAGUCGCACAUUUUGCCUUGGUUCUCGUUCAGGCAAAUCGUCGAACACCUUGUCUGCACAACUUAUGAAAUUUAUUCCAGAGACAUAGGUAAAUCACAACUCAGUAAUUUCUUAUUCGCAUAUGAUUAAAGCUGUAGACUAUACGGGGGGAGGUGUGUUCCACAGUAAUGGUGUUCCUAACAAUUUUAUUUUAAGCCGCUUUGGGUUUAGAAGAAGCUUCCUCUGUAGCUGCACGAGCACGACGAGCUCGGACGUAAUCAAGAUGUUUCUCCCUUGGCGGCAGGCAUCCUAAAACGACGUCGUCAUCUCGAACCUUCUCCAUCCAUUUGAAAAUUACAGAGAAUUUCUCUUUGUUCAUCAGCUCUGGUUGUAUAAUUUCCUGCAUCACUUCAAUCCAGUGCAAGAUGAAGAACGCGGCAAUGUCCACAAACCCAAUCCUUUCCCCUCCGAAAUAUUCCUUCCCCUUCAGCUCCCCCUCCAGAAAUCUAAUAUGCCGGGCGAAUUCCUCAAUCACGUCCUCUUGUUCUAUCUCCUUCGCUGCGUAAGCCUUGAACGCAGUCGGCAAGACCUUGAAAAAAAGGAGCAUUCCAUUUCCCAGAGUCAGACCAGAGACAUGGAACGGUGAAGAGAUGUUAGAAAGUUUCUUACUUUUUCGUCAAUGAACUUAGCCCAGAAGCGAGCAAUGGCUCUGUCAUAAGGAUCUUUAGGCAGGAUUGGGUAGCUUGAUCCCCAGGUUUCGUCGAUGUACUCGAUGAUGACGAGGGAUUCCGCGAUCGGCUUGCCAUUGUGGAACAAAACAGGGACCUUCUUGUGAACUGGAUUGGACUUGAGGAGAAGAUCGCUCUUAUUGGCAAGGUUUUCUUCCACGAGUUCGAACUGUAAGCCUUUCAGUUUGAGGACUAAUUCAACCCUGCGGGUGAACCGACUAGCCCACACUCCAAGUAGCUUGAUUUCUCCUGCCAUUUUUGAAUCUGGGUAAAGUUGGUCAAACUUUGUUCUUUAUCGUUCUAUGGAGUGAUGGACUAUUUUGACAGAUAUAUAUUGGGAUUUGGCAAUUCGGAUGGAAUGUCAUGGCUGACGUAAAUUCGUCAGAAAGUCCGACAUUUUGACCGGAGUGUUGCGUCGUCACCGUCACUGUCAUCUCGUUGCUCAUUAGUCAUUACAUUUACACCAUCCCAAAUUGCUUCGAUCUCGUUCAGGCAAAUCGUCCAACACGUUCUCUGCACAAGCGGAUGAUCGAGAAACUUCGCGGUUUCAUUGUUUCGCAAAUCAUACACAAGUUUUAGCACAAGAUUAAGCUACAGUAGGAAGGCAUUACACUAGUGAUAGUGUCCUAACUUUUAAGCGGAUUUUGUUUUGGAAGCAGCAGCUUACAAUAGAAAAGCACGAGUAGCUCGGACGUAAUCAAGAUGCUUGUCCCUCGGCGGCAGGCAUCCCAUCACAACUUCAUCAUUUCGGAGCUUAUCCAUCCAUUCGAACAUUCCAGGGAACUUCUCUUUUGUCAACAGAUCUGCUUCCGCAACUUCCUCCAACGCUCCAAGCCAAUACAAGAUGAAGAACGCGGCAAUGUCCACAAACCCGAUCCUUUCCCCUCCGAAAUACUCCUUCCCCUUCAGCUCCCCCUCCAGAUUUUCCACUUGCUAGCAUGAAUUCCUCGAUCGAAUCUUCUUGUUCUUUGUCCCCCUUCCCUAUGUAAGCCUUGAAUGCCGUCAGCAACACCUGCAAAAAGCAUCCCAUUAGUUAGAAAUCUUCAGAUAAAUGAAUGAGACGGAUAGGAAGAGAGACGACACAAAUGAUUUUGAUUUCUUUCCUACUUUUUCGUCAACGAACUUAGCCCAGAAGCGAGCAAUGGCUCUGUCGUAGGGAUCUUUCGGCAGGACUGAGUAGCUUGAUCCCCAGGUUUCGUCAAUGUACUCGAUGAUGACGAGGGAUUCCGAGAUUGGCUUGCCGUUAUGGAAUAAGACAGGUAUCUUCUUGUGAACUGGGUUGGAGUUGAGGAGAAGAUCGCUCUUGUUCAAAAGGUCUUCUUCCACAUAGUCGAACUGUAAGCCUUUCAGUUUGAGGACCAAUUCGAUCCUGCCGCUGAACGGACUAGCCCACAUUCCAAGUAGCUUGAUUUGGUCCCCCAUUUUUCUUGGAUCUCAGUACUACUAAUGAGGCCAUUCGCAUUAAAUGCCUUGGCUGACUGAGUACUGCGCAAGUAAAUCUGCAUCUGUCAUGGCUGACGCAAAUUAUUUUGAUUUGGUUUGUGGAGAAAGUCUUGGAUAUUGACGAGUUAAAAGACUCGAGAUUGUUCCGACGUCGAGAAACUCCUUUCAUUUCACCGGAAAGACUGAUCUUGAUGUCGAGAGUUCGAGGCUCUCUCACCUCAACGAUUACUUUCUUACAAUUUGCUACAUUCUUAUUUCUCACCCAGUUUAAGGAACAUGGCAUCGGCCAUACCAAAUUAAUGAGCGUCAUAUUACAAACAAUUAUAAUCUAUUAUUAAUAUAGAGUUCAUCGAUUAACACAAUUUUAAUUCAUUUUCGAAUUACCUUCUUCUCAAAUUAGUCAUCACCAAGUAGCCAAGUAGGGAGUUUUUUUUUACCAAAAUAAAAAAUGGGGUUUCUUAUCUUAUUCCUUUCAGCAUGUACUAAUAUUUGGAUAAAAGUUGUUGGUUUUGUUGAUUUAAUGCGUAUAGGUUGUCGAUGGGCUAAUCGGAUCAAACGGAUCAAAUGUUCUCUUAUAUAUUUAGCGGGUUUAUUUUUAUUUUUUUUUAUUGAUUGCAACAAAAUUAUCCCUCUCGUUUGUUAAAAUAACAAUUGAGUCCGGAUUUGGGAUUCCAUCUAAACAGCUGUUAACUCGGUCGACAUGGCAGAGCUGAAUCGACAACAUCGGUCCACGUGGCACUUUAUACCACUUAGCUAGCGGGCUAAUUAUGGAAUUGUUAGAGUAUACGAAACGUCUACCAAAAUCCUUACAUUUUCUUCAAUUUUGGUGACGGAUUUGGGUAAUGGUUCAUUCGGUUUAAAUGGGGAACCACUAGCUAAGUGGUACAAAGUGCCAUGUUGACCAAUGUUGCUGACUCAUCUCUGCCACGUCGACCAAACUAACGUCCGUUUAGACGGGUGGCCAAAUUCGGACUUAAUUGUUAUUUCAACAAACGAGAGGAACAGUUUUGUUGCAAUCGAUACGAACGAGACUAAAAUGAACCCGCUAGAUAUAUAAGAGACAAUUUAGCCUGAUUAACCGUUGUUGACGAGCAGAGUUGAGCUUCAUCAAAUUUAAGUUGCGCUUGUAGUAUUUUUAACGACCUCCAACAUCAGAUUUAUGAAAAAAUCACAAAUAAAGCAUAAUCUAGCCGUAAAAUAUAUGAUUUGCCCGAUAAUAUCGACAGAACUUGACUCAAUUUUCAAAUGAACUUAACAGAAUAGGAUCAACUUUGACAUUAACCGUUAGAAUUCACGUAAAAUACGAUGGCAUGGAGAAAUGCUUUUCUGCCACGUAGGACUCCACGUCAGCAAAAAAAAACAUUUCUGCGGCUGUAGAAACUGGCCCAGGUUCCAAGUAGCUUGAUUUCCUCUGCCAUUUUCUCUUGAUUUUUCUCAUCCGUGGAGCAAAGAAGCCUAUACACGUGCAGGAGUCGAAGUUCAGUGCAUUGGAGCUAAAUGGGGAAACGUCAUGGCUGACAUCACAGAUCUUAUGGGACCUCUUAUCUAGAUAUUCUACCUUAUGCUGUGCGACAUCAAUAAUGCCAAUCACACUACAACUCUGAAACCGACCCGAAUUGCUUCGAUCUGGUUCAGGCAAAUCGUCGAGCACAUCGUGUGCACAAGUUAAGAAAUCCUAACAGAGAAAUCGGAAUCAAAACCACGCAACUCAGCAAUUUCUCAUUCGCAAAGCCAACAUAAUCUUUAUCACAAGAUUAAGCUACAAUAGGAAGGUAUUACACUGGCGAUGGUGGUGUCCUAACUUUUAAUUAAGCUGAUUUUGCUUUGGAAGCAGCAGCUUCCAAAAGGAAGGCACGAACAGAUCGGACGUAAUCAAGAUACUUAUCCCUCGGCGGCAGGCAUCCAAUCACAACGUCGUGGUCUUGGAGCUUCUCCAUCCAUUUAAACAAUACAGGGAACUUCUCUUUGGUCAACACAUCUGCUCCCGAAACUUCCUCCAACGCUCCAAGCCCGUUCAAGAUGUAGAACGCGGCAAUGUCCACAAAUCCGAUCCUUUCCCCUCCGAAAUAUUCCUUUCCCUUCAGCUCCCCCUCCAGAUACCUCACUUGCUGGGUGAAUUCCUCAAUCCCGUCCUCUUGUUCUUUGUCCCCCUUCCCUAUGAAUGCCUUGAACGACGUCUCCAACACCUGCAAAAAGCAUUAUUCCGUUAGUUAGAAAUCGCCAGAUAAUGAACGAGGAAGAGAGACGACACAAAUGAUUUGGAUUUUUCUUACUUUUUCGUCAACGAACUUGGCCCAGAAGCGAGCAACGGCUCUGUCGUAGGGAUCUUGAGGCAGGAUUGAGUAGCUUGAUGAUCCCCAAGUAUCGUCGAUGUACUCGAUGAUGACGAGGGAUUCCGAGAUUGGCUUGCCGUUGUGGAACAAGACAGGGACCUUGUUGUGAACUGGGUUGGAGUUGAGGAGGAGAUCGCUCUUGUUGGCAAGGUUUUCU